This is a non-coding RNA of Zea mays, 114 nucleotides long. The record is from Rfam. Lineage: Eukaryota; Viridiplantae; Streptophyta; Magnoliopsida; Poales; Poaceae.
GUGAGAAUCACAGUGCAGUUCUCCUCUGGCACGAACCAAGGCUGAGCAGCUUGCCCCAUGGCUAGCCCACGACGGCCCUUCCUUGCCAAAGGAGAAUUGCCCUGCCAUUCACAA